Molecule: non-coding RNA, 394 nt
Organism: Nicotiana tabacum (common tobacco)
Lineage: Eukaryota; Viridiplantae; Streptophyta; Magnoliopsida; Solanales; Solanaceae
Source: RefSeq, a predicted model, not a curated record
UGAAGUGAUACUGAACAUCUUUAUACAUCAGAGUCCAAAAUCGUCUCCGACUUAGAACCCUAAACCUUGUCCAACUCCUCUUGCCCUGGCGAUGAAGCCCUAGAAAGGUAGCUAUAGCCUACAAUUGGUCAAAAUCUUUGCAUCUUUCGAGAUAAACAAGCCCCAUCGGAGCUCAUUAACGUUGUAAACGAUAUCGAGAUGAGUGGCUGAUGGUGUCUACCUGAAGAGCUUCGGUUGAAGCUUCAAGAGUUUUGUGUUUUUCCAGAAUACCAAAAUUGUAAAAGGGACAAGGCUCUUAAACAAAUCAUAAAUAUGGCACCGACCGAGGAGUUUGAAGGCACUUAAUUUUUUUUGGUCAUAUGUAUAUGUGUUUAUUGACAAUGACAAUGAUGUA